Molecule: long non-coding RNA, 2319 nt
Filed under: Ananas comosus (pineapple)
Lineage: Eukaryota; Viridiplantae; Streptophyta; Magnoliopsida; Poales; Bromeliaceae
Description: long non-coding RNA (ACOM_LNC018298)
Source: RNAcentral
GGAAACAUUCUAAAAUGCACCCAAUAUAUUCUUAACAUGACAUUUUCAAUCAAUAAAAUUAUUUUUUAAAAUUAAUAUAUCUCAUCAUGAUUAAUAAAAAAUAUUUUUAUUAUAUAUUUUUUUAAUAAAAUAAUAUUAUUAACGUAUUAUUAAUAAUGCGGUGUAAAUGUGAUAAAUUUUCUCCAACUUAGAGAACUUAUCCAGACAGAAAGGUAAUUCAAAUUCAAAUAUUAAUGAUAAAAUAAAAGGAGAAGAAUAAAACUUACCAUUCGGUGAUGCCAGGUGUCCUUGACAGAAUCUUUAGCGUGUCCCCGAAACUGCCACGUCAUCCGGAUAAAGAUUCGCCCUCUUUCCACCCGUCAAAAUACAAAAUAAAAAAUACGAAGGGACCAAAUCUUUCCAAAUCCAUCUUGGAAAUAUACCAAAACUAUCCAAAUUUUUUCCGACAAAAUUCUUAUUUUCUUACCUCAAGAAGGGACAAAAUCCUCAUCUUGAUUUCGGUGUGUAUAUAGAAGAAUGUAUACUCAUGAAGUUGGAACCUUGAAAAAUUCUUCUAAUUACUUCUUCCUCCUCUCUCCCUCAUGCACUGAAAUUCACCUCUCUUUACACCAAGUUUUACAUUUCUUUUGUAUUGUUUGCUGGAUCUCUAAGAGCUACUUGAGUUCGUGUUGCACCACCCUGAAGACGUGCUGACGGGGUGGAAGGUGGUCGUUGUAUCGAUAAGAGUGAUUGCCAAAGCCUCGCACGUGGAGUAGCAAUCUCGCUUCUAGGACAGUACUUUCGCACACCUCAACACGCAGGCCUUAUCUAAACCUUUUUUCUCUAUAAUAUUUUUCACUUAAUCUAUCCUUAUAAUUUCUUACAAUUUUUGAAAACAAAAGUUAAAAAUAUUUUCUUUUAUAAUUGUUUAAAAAGUAAAUUGUUCAAGCUAAAUAUAUGUUUGCAUAUUACAUAAUUACAUACUUUGUUGUUAAUCCAAAUUACUUAUAUAUAUAUAAAAUUAUGCUACUAUACUAUCAAUAGUACCGAGUCGUUGGUACUAUUGAGUUUUCGGCCGUUGGAUGAAAGGAUGUGCGGUUAGGAUGAUAGUGGUCUCCUAGGGUUGAUUGGGUGGUUGGUUUAAUAGUAUAAUCUAACGGAUUGAAAUGAUCAAAUGGUAGAUCUAACGGUAGAAAACUCAAUAGUACAAAGGGCUUGCUACUAUCGAUAGUAUAGUAGCCGGACAAUAUAUAUAUAUAUAUAUAUAUAUAUAUAUAGAAUGCUACUAUACUAUCUAUAGUACCGAGCUCGCGGUACUAUAGUGUUUGUUUUCGAUCUUAGAGCGUUCAAAUCAACGAUCCACAUCGUUAGAUAUAAUCUAGGGUAUGUGAAUUUCUUAGGAAUAAAAUUUUAGUUUUUUUCGAUAUCGUUUACUUAGUAAAUAAAUUAUAUCAAAAUGGACGGUGGAGAUUGAAUAAUCUUUAAAUUUGAGCAUAGGACUUUUAAAUUCAAGAUCAAGAAUGUUAACCUUAAUCUAUAUAGUUUAAAGUAUUUUCUAUCAAAAUUUGAAGAAAUUUAGAUUCUUCUACACCGUUAAACUCCAAACUCGUCAUAAUAACCAUUGAAAAUUGACAAUUUUGAAAUAGUUUGUUCAUAAAGUAAACUAUGCCGAAAAAAUAUAAAAUUUUAUUUCUAGAAACUUUAAAUACCCUAGAUCAAUUUUAACGGUGUGGAUCGUUGAUUUGAACGCCCUAAGAUCGAAAAUCAACACUAUAGUACCGGAGCUUGGUGCUAUAGAUAGUAUAGUAGCCUAGCUCUAUAUAUAUAUAUAUAUUAAAGUAAUCAGUAAUCAUUCAAGCUAAAUAUAUGUUUUGCAUAGUUCAUAAUUACAUAUUUUAUUGUCAUUCUGUCUUAUUUUUAUAUGGUAAAUCAUUCUUGACUAUUAUUCUUUUGCCCCCUCUUAUAUACAUAUGUGUUGAUAUUUUAAUUAUAUUAUUUUCCUUUUUUUUCGUAAUUAUUAUUAUUAUUAUUAUUAUUAUUAUUAUUAUUAUUAUUAUGGCUGGGGUUGCUAUACUCUUAUGAGUAUAGAACCCCUUGUACUCAUAAAUUUUUAACCGUUGAUUGAUGGGAUGUGUGGUUAGGAUGAUGGUGGUCCCCACUUAGAAUGAUAGUGGUCCCCUAGGGUUGAGUGGGUAGUUGGUUGAAUUGUAUGAUCUAACGGAUGAAAAUGAUCAUGGAAUAAAUCUAAGGGCCAAAAAUUUAUGAGUAUAAGGGAACCAAUCCUCAUAAAAGUAUAGUAGCCGGACUCUAUUAUUAUUAUAUAUUAGUGUUAAAAUUGUU